AAAAACAUGAUCAUUUACUGCAUACGAUUUUAAGAUUGAGUUGAUGCUGUUUCUGCUGUUGCAGAUUAUAUUUUAAAGCAAUUGUAAUUCAUUAUGUAAUAUUUUAUUACAUAAAAUAUUAUAUAAUAAAUAUCUGUGAUCCAGUUGAUUCAGGUGUGACAGAGAAGAUUUAGGAUGUCCUGCAAUACCAGAGUUUAAAAACUGCAGUGCAUCACACCUGAGACUCACCUGUUGUUGGAACACGCUCUCUGUGGACAUGACCUCCAUGGCUCCGCCCCCUCCAGUUCAGGACACGCCCCAUUAAUCAUUAUGGCUUUUAUAGUUCUUGCACACUUUCUUAUAUGAAGUGUGUAUGCAGACUUACAGUGAGAUGAGACUAUUCAAAUACAUUUGACAAUCAUUCAGAGCAGAUGAAUCCAAUCCAAUGUGGAUCAACACUGUGUCAAUCCUGAAGUUUGGUUUUGGACAAAAAAAGAAGGACAGUACAGAGUAGUUUAUCAGGUGAUAGUUUGAGGCCAGUGUGUGUGUUUUUUCACCUUACACAUUCUUGUCAGAGAAGUUUUUAAUGCAACUCAUUUUUAAUUCAGAUUGCUGCAGUUGCAACACAUCGGGCUGAAACUCUUGAUGAAGUUUUAGUAUUAAAUUCUUUUUAACUGUUCAUUGUCUUGUCAGUGACUGACUGUCUCUAUAUUAAUUUAUAUUAAACAAUUCCACAUGCAAUCAAUGAAAAUCAAGUCUAAAUGUGUAUUUA
RNAcentral lists this long non-coding RNA (751 nucleotides) under Carassius auratus (goldfish). RNAcentral describes it as "lncRNA (ENSCARG00000056874.1)". The record is from RNAcentral. Lineage: Eukaryota; Metazoa; Chordata; Actinopteri; Cypriniformes; Cyprinidae.